This 528-nucleotide ribosomal RNA is filed under the name Clostridium perfringens. RNAcentral's name for it is "partial 23S ribosomal RNA". It matches the Rfam family "Bacterial large subunit ribosomal RNA", at positions 1600 to 2141 of the family's 2925-position model. The record is from RNAcentral. Lineage: Bacteria; Bacillati; Bacillota; Clostridia; Eubacteriales; Clostridiaceae.
CCACGCUGCCAAGAAAAGCGUCUAGAGAGAGAAGUAGUGCCCGUACCGCAAACCGACACAGGUAGGUGAGGAGAGAAUCCUAAGGCCGGCGGAAGAAUUACAGUUAAGGAACUCGGCAAAUUGACCCCGUAAGUUCGCGAGAAGGGGUGCCUACGAGAGUAGGCCGCAGAGAAUAGGCCCAAGCAACUGUUUAGCAAAAACACAGGUCUCUGCUAAAGCGUAAGCUGAUGUAUAGGGGCUGACGCCUGCCCGGUGCUGGAAGGUUAAGGGGAACACUUAGCGCAAGCGAAGGUGUGAACUUAAGCCCCAGUAAACGGCGGCCGUAACUAUAACGGUCCUAAGGUAGCGAAAUUCCUUGUCAGGUAAGUUCUGACCCGCACGAAUGGCGUAAUGACUUGGGCACUGUCUCAACUGUAAAUCCGGCGAAGUUGUAGUGCGAGUGAAGAUGCUCGCUACCCGCGAUUGGACGGAAAGACCCCGUAGAGCUUUACUGUAGCUUAGCAUUGAGUUUUGGUAUUGUCUGUACAG